CCUACGGGGGGCAGCAGUGAGGAAUAUUGGUCAAUGGCCGAGAGGCUGAACCAGCCAAGUCGCGUGAGGGAAGACGGCCCUACGGGUUGUAAACCUCUUUUGUCGGGGAGCAAAGCGAGUCACGUGUGACUCAUUGAGAGUACCCGAAGAAAAAGCAUCGGCUAACUCCGUGCCAGCAGCCGCGGUAAUACGGAGGAUGCGAGCGUUAUCCGGAUUUAUUGGGUUUAAAGGGUGCGCAGGCGGAGGUGCAAGUCAGCGGUCAAAUUGCGGGGCUCAACCCCGUACUGCCGUUGAAACUGCAUCCCUUGAGUGCGCGAGAAGUAUGCGGAAUGCGUGGUGUAGCGGUGAAAUGCAUAGAUAUCACGCAGAACUCCGAUUGCGAAGGCGGUCUGCUGGACAGCAACUGACGGUGAGGCGCGAAAGCGUGGGGAGCAAACAGGAUUAGAUACCCCAGUAGUC
Molecule: ribosomal RNA, 459 nt
Filed under: uncultured bacterium
Lineage: Bacteria
Description: partial 16S ribosomal RNA
Rfam family: Bacterial small subunit ribosomal RNA
Source: RNAcentral